Microtus ochrogaster (prairie vole) is the source of this 163-nucleotide small nuclear RNA. Its record names the gene U1. It matches the Rfam family "U1 spliceosomal RNA". Rfam says of the family: U1 is a small nuclear RNA (snRNA) component of the spliceosome (involved in pre-mRNA splicing). Its 5' end forms complementary base pairs with the 5' splice junction, thus defining the 5' donor site of an intron. The record is from Ensembl. Lineage: Eukaryota; Metazoa; Chordata; Mammalia; Rodentia; Cricetidae.
GAAUUUACCUUGCAGGAGAGUUGCCAUGCUCACAAAGGUGGUUUUCCCAAGUUGAGGCUCACUGGUCACAUUCUGGAUGUAUUGACACUGUGAUUUCCCCAAAUGUGGAAAACCAGUUGCAUAAUUUGUGAUAAUAGGAGCUGUAUUUAAGAUAUCCCCCCCA